This 177-nucleotide non-coding RNA is filed under the name chicken gut metagenome. RNAcentral describes it as "malK-I RNA". It matches the Rfam family "malK-I RNA". The record is from RNAcentral.
GCCUGUGGUACUCCACAGAAUACCACAGCGUGGUAUCAAAAAAGGAGGAACAGCAACAAACCGCCGGACUAGCGGUGCGGCAGUGUGGAGACCUGUCGUAAUGCGGCGCCCGCCAACGCGCGGGGUCGUGAAAUCACACCUUGCGGAGGCAGUGUGAUUAUAGUCGAACGCAUGGCA